Long non-coding RNA from Lontra canadensis (Northern American river otter), 562 nucleotides. RefSeq lists it as uncharacterized. The transcript has 4 exons. The record is from RefSeq and is a predicted model, not a curated record. NCBI's taxonomy places the organism in Eukaryota, Metazoa, Chordata, Mammalia, Carnivora, Mustelidae.
GAGAGUGCCGGCCUCCAGGCUGAGCUGUGAGGACAAAGCGGAGGAGGCAGAAUUGGUUUGGACAGGUGGGGCCUGAGAGUGUGGGCUGAGGGGCUGGUCCUCCACAAGGGAAGGGAAGCCAUUUUUGAGAUGGGGAAGGAGCGCUGCAGAUGGGUGCAGGAGCAUGUUGGGGAACCCGAGAAGGAGACUGAGGGGCCUGCUGUGGAUGAGUGGAUGGCCGUGCCCACAGAUGCUGGCAGAAUCUUGAAGGUCGACUGCAGAAAUGGCUCAAUUCUCAACCUCUCACAAUGUGGUCCUGCUGGUCCUCCCAUCAAGAGAUGACUAUCUUCUCACCCCAGGAGGAUGUCAAGGUAGAGAGAAACCAGAUGACUGGCUCAGGGACGCAUGCAUGCGAGGAUGGACCAUGAGGAAAAUGGGAUCCAGGAUGUGUCAAUUCCAUCUUGCUGCUUUUUGGUCAUUGUCCCAGCUCUACAAGAUGGCUGAAAUCUUAACCUCUCAGCAGUUUCUUCCAGGCUUCUUAGCCUCUGGUCGCCAUUUACUAAUUGGUAAAUACCUCAAGAGA